AAGCUUUGGUUGGGGCAACGCGGAGUAAGAAGACCCUCCGCUAAUAAGAUAUUACUAUAAAAAGAAUUACGGUUCUACAAUCAAAAUGAAAGAAUGAUCCACUAAGGUGAUCAAAGAAACAAGUUACCGCAGGAUAACAGCGUUAUCUUUUCUGAGAGUUCACAUUGACGAAAAGGUUUGCGACCUCGAUGUUGGAUCGGGACAUCCUAAGGGUGCAGAAGCUUUUAAGGGUUGGUCUGUUCGACCAUUAAAGUCCCACGUGAUCUGAGUUCAGACCGGCGAGAGCCAAGUCAGUUUCUAUCUACGUUAAGGUCUCUC
Molecule: ribosomal RNA, 318 nt
Filed under: Mesocentrotus franciscanus
Lineage: Eukaryota; Metazoa; Echinodermata; Echinoidea; Camarodonta; Strongylocentrotidae
Description: partial ribosomal RNA
Rfam family: Bacterial large subunit ribosomal RNA
Source: RNAcentral